This 232-nucleotide long non-coding RNA is filed under the name Elaeis guineensis (African oil palm). RNAcentral describes it as "long non-coding RNA (EGUI_LNC004541)". Lineage: Eukaryota; Viridiplantae; Streptophyta; Magnoliopsida; Arecales; Arecaceae. The record is from RNAcentral.
ACCACAGAUCCCAUGUCCAAACUAAUGUGCAACCUUUAAUAAUUAAAUUUCGUUCCAAAGUAAACUAGUACAUAUUUUAUAAACAAAAACUAGUACAUAAAUAUAUCCCAUUAUACAUUCUGUUUUUAGGUAUAAAUGCUCCUGUCUAAAUCCUAAAUUAGACCUAUAGACAACACAUGAGACCAGCAUAAUUUUUAUCUUGCUAUACUGCAACUGAUAAAUCCCAAAGUCC